Molecule: ribosomal RNA, 338 nt
Rfam family: Bacterial small subunit ribosomal RNA
ACCCGACAGCUCAGUACAUUCGCUGUCCGCCCGGGCACUACAAGCAUUAGCUUCAAACCCAAAGGACUUGACGGUGCUUUAUAUCCACCUAGAGGAGCCUGUCCUAGAACCGAUACCCCUCGUUAAACCUCACCUUUUCUUGCUCUUGCCGCCUAUAUACCGCCGUCUUCAGCCUACCCUGUAAAGGUCUCACAGUGGGCACAAUUGGCACAGCCCAAAACGUCAGGUCGAGGUGUAGCGAAUGAAAAGGGAAGAGAUGGGCUACAUUCAAUGAAUCAAUGAAAUACGAAUAGUUAAAUGAAACAUUAACUUAAAGGAGGAUUUAGUAGUAAGCAAGG